RNAcentral lists this ribosomal RNA (253 nucleotides) under uncultured bacterium. Its description in RNAcentral is "partial 16S ribosomal RNA". It matches the Rfam family "Bacterial small subunit ribosomal RNA", at positions 524 to 776 of the family's 1533-position model. The record is from RNAcentral.
UACGUAGGCAGCGAGCGUUGUUCGGAGUUACUGGGCGUAAAGAGUGCGUAGGCGGUUUUCUAAGUUUGGUGUGAAAUCUCCCGGCUUAACUGGGAGGGUGCGCCGAAAACUGGAAGGCUUGAGUAUGGGAGAGGUAAGCGGAAUUCCUGGUGUAGCGGUGAAAUGCGUAGAUAUCAGGAGGAACACCUGCGGUGUAGACGGCUUACUGGACCAUAACUGACGCUGAGGCGCGAAAGCCAGGGGAGCGAACGGG